AUGGCCACUCCCCUGCUCCCCACACCUGUGCUCCAAGGCCCCCCAGGGACCUGGCACGUCCGUCUCUUUGGGGGCACUGGUUUGAGCCUGCCCCUACCAGAGGGCACAGAGCCUCCGGGACCCUGGUGGAGGGACAAACAGGGCCGAGCAGAGCUCCAUGUGGACGCUGGGCGCUGCCCUCAGAGCACCUGUGGGUGUCUGUGCAGAAGGGCCCGGGAGGAGGUAAGGCGAAUGGAGAGACUUUUGUUCUUAUUUUCUACGUGUGUUUCUGCAUUUUCUGUUGAUUUUUCUGUGGUUAUCACAUAUUACUCGUGUCUACAAAGGAAACAAUACAACUCUAAUAGAAAGAGGGGAUGCUACAGAGCCUAUGGGGACACAGCCAAGAGGCCAAGCACUCAGAGAAGGACUCCAGGUUUGAAGGCAGAUGCUGGUGGGGACCCGGCCAGGUGGCUGGGCGGGAAAAGGUGAGAUGGGGCAGGAUUGGGCCUGGGAAGGCUGAGGCAGGCAGGGAUGAUGCCAGCAGAGGAGAAUCCCAAGCAGGCCCCGCGGCUGCGGCUGGAGAGCUCCAGGGGCGGAGAGGAGGUGGGAGGCAGCAGUCAGGUUGGGAGGACCCUGGCAAGCAAGCCCAGAGAGGAGGGCUGGGAGGGCCGGGCACUAGAAGUGCGAAGUCACUGCUGCCUCCUGGGGCUGCUUCAGAGGAUGGGUGGGGUCACGUGUGGGGAGACCAGGGAGACUGGAGACUACGCUGUUUGGUCCAGGCAUAGGAGAUGAGCCCUGGCCGGGAAGGGACAGUGUGGAUGGGCCAGGCGGAAUCAGAGGGUUUCAGAGAAAGCCGUCGAGCCAGUGCCAUGAGUUUCGUGCACACGAGGAGGGAGCAGGCUGGGGGGGGGUGUUGCUGGUGUGAGGGCUCUCUGGUUGCAGGCAGCGGUCCGGUUGGGUGGGGGCACAGCUGCCAGGAGGAAAGCGCCCAGGGCCUGCAGGUGGGGCUCAGGAUGCUGGCCCUGAAGAAAUAGAAACAGGGUUUUCACCUGGGAGGGAGGAGGAGCCUGGGAACUGGGGAGGAAGAGGCUCUGCUGGGCCGCGUCCUGGGAACAGGGAGACCUGGGAACAGGGAGACCUGGGGACAGAUCUGGCCCUCGCACGCCCCUCCUGUCUCGCGUCCGUCCCUCCGUGCAGCCGGGGCAGGACCCUGCAGGGGCCUUGCGGGCCGGAGGUGCCGGCUUCCUCCUCCAUCCCGUCCCCCCCGCGGUGAAUCCCUUUAUUCAAAUCUCCCCCCUUCCCGCUGCCCCGCCGGACUCGGGCUGGGGUCGUAGCCCGGCGGGCAGCGGUGUUCACCUUCCGCAUAAACCUGGGCUUCCUCGCGGGGCAGCCCCCGGGCCUUAUGCUGGGUCGCAGCCUCGGGCGGUUCCCUCGGGGCGGGACGUGUC
Molecule: long non-coding RNA, 1427 nt
Filed under: Pan paniscus (pygmy chimpanzee)
Lineage: Eukaryota; Metazoa; Chordata; Mammalia; Primates; Hominidae
Description: lncRNA (ENSPPAG00000044774.1)
Source: RNAcentral